UAAGUCCCCGUCGGGUAAGGACUAACCAUUCACCCGUAUUGAGUGUUGCGUAUCGGUAGGAUGUAAAUUUUUUUUUUACAGAACGAAUGAUACGAAGCGUACACAGAGAAACUAAUAGACCA
Non-coding RNA from Beggiatoa sp. PS, 122 nucleotides. NCBI's taxonomy places the organism in Bacteria, Pseudomonadati, Pseudomonadota, Gammaproteobacteria, Thiotrichales, Thiotrichaceae. The record is from Rfam.